Molecule: ribosomal RNA, 483 nt
Filed under: uncultured bacterium
Lineage: Bacteria
Description: partial 16S ribosomal RNA
Rfam family: Bacterial small subunit ribosomal RNA
Source: RNAcentral
GAUGAACGCUGGCGGCGUGCCUAAUACAUGCAAGUCGAGCGAACCACUUCGGUGGUGAGCGGCGAACGGGUGAGUAACACGUAGGUGAUCUACCCAUCAGACGGGGACAACGAUUGGAAACGAUCGCUAGUACCGGAUAGGACGAAAGUUUAAAGGUGCUUCUGGCACCGCUGAUGGAUGAGCCUGCGGCGCAUUAGCUAGUAGGUAGGGUAAAGGCCUACCAAGGCGACGAUGCGUAGCCGACCUGAGAGGGUGAACGGCCACACUGGGACUGAGACACGGCCCAGACUCCUACGGGAGGCAGCAGUAGGGAAUCUUCGGCAAUGGGCGAAAGCCUGACCGAGCAACGCCGCGUGAAUGAUGAAGGCCUUCGGGUUGUAAAAUUCUGUUAUAAGGGAAGAACGACUUUAGUAGGAAAUGGCUAGAGUGUGACGGUACCUUAUGAGAAAGCCACGGCUAACUACGUGCCAGCCGCCGCAGUAA